GGCAGGUACAGAGGGAUGCUACCGGGCGACCGGAUGCGGAUCUCGAAAGCCUGUCCCAGUUCGGACUGGAGUCUGCAACUCGACUCCACGAAGUUGGAUUCGCUAGUAAUCGCGCAUCAGCCAUGGCGCGGUGAAUACGUUCCCGGGCCUUGUACACACCGCCCGUCAAGCCAUGGGAGCCGGGGGCGCCUGAAGUCCGGGACCGCGAGGACCGGCCUAGGGCGAAACUGGUAACUGGGGCUAAGUCGUAACAAGGUAUC
RNAcentral lists this ribosomal RNA (260 nucleotides) under uncultured bacterium. RNAcentral's name for it is "partial 16S ribosomal RNA". It matches the Rfam family "Bacterial small subunit ribosomal RNA", at positions 1232 to 1500 of the family's 1533-position model. The record is from RNAcentral.